GGCACUUUGGCGGAGUGGUUAACGCGCUGCCCUGCUAAGGCAGUUCCUUCGGGAGCGUGUGUUCGAAUCACACAGGUGUCG
RNAcentral lists this transfer RNA (81 nucleotides) under Baudoinia panamericana UAMH 10762. RNAcentral's name for it is "tRNA-Ser (GCT) (tRNA-Ser-GCT-1-1)". It matches the Rfam family "tRNA". From Rfam's summary of the family: Transfer RNA (tRNA) molecules are approximately 80 nucleotides in length. Their secondary structure includes four short double-helical elements and three loops (D, anti-codon, and T loops). Lineage: Eukaryota; Fungi; Ascomycota; Dothideomycetes; Mycosphaerellales; Teratosphaeriaceae. The record is from RNAcentral. RNAcentral also lists the same sequence under 1 other name.